AGUUCUGAAUGUGAAAAGCCCACGGCCUCAACCGGGGAGGGUCAUUUGGAAAACUGGGGAACUUGAGUGCAGAAAGAAGGAGAGUGGAAUUCCACGUGUAGCGGUGAAAUGCGUAGAGAUGUGGAGGAACACCAGUGGCGAAGGCGACUCUCUGGUCUGUAACUGACGCUGAGGAGCGAAAGCGUGGGGAGCGAACAGGAUUAGAUACCCUGGUAGUCCACGCCGUAAACGAUGAGUGCUAAGUGUUAGAGGGUUUCCGCCCUUUAGUGCUGCAGCUAACGCAUUAAGCACUCCGCCUGGGGAGUACGGUCGCAAGACUGAAACUCAAAGGAAUUGACGGGGGCCCGCACAAGCGGUGGAGCAUGUGGUUUAAUUCGAAGCAACGCGAAGAACCUUACCAGGUCUUGACAUCCUCUGACAACCCUAGAGAUAGGGCGUUCCCUUCGGGGACAGAGUGACAGGUGGUGCAUGGUUGUCGUCAGCUCGUGUCGUGAGAUGUUGGGUUAAGUCCCGCAACGAGCGCAACCCUUGAUCUUAGUUGCCAGCAUUCAGUUGGGCACUCUAAGGUGACUGCCGGUGACAAACCGGAGGAAGGUGGGGAUGACAUCAAAUCAUCAUGCCCCUUAUGACCUGUGCUACACACGUGCUACAAUGGACAGAACACAGGGCUGCGAGACCGCGAGGUUUAGACAAUCCCACAAAUCUGUUCUCACUUCGGAUAGUAGGCUGCAACUCGACUGCGUGAAGCUGGAAUCGCUAGUAAUCUCGGAU
This 771-nucleotide ribosomal RNA is filed under the name Bacillus licheniformis. RNAcentral describes it as "bacterial SSU rRNA". It matches the Rfam family "Bacterial small subunit ribosomal RNA", at positions 586 to 1349 of the family's 1533-position model. Lineage: Bacteria; Bacillati; Bacillota; Bacilli; Caryophanales; Bacillaceae. The record is from RNAcentral.